AAUUAUUAUUAGAUUUUUAAAUAAUUAUUCACGAAAUAAAUUGAGCUAAAUUUUUGGUAUUUUUGGAAAUUAUAACUAUAUGUUACAAAAUAUAUUAACUAAAUAGAUUUAGGGGUGAAAGGCCUAUCAAAUUUUAUGAUAUCUUGAAGUAUAUAAAAUAUAUCAAGUAUUUCUAAUUCAACUAUUGAAUGUUUAGGUUCAAUAGUAACAUUAUAUUUUUUAAAAAAUUGUUCAAUUUUUUUAAGUAAAAUUGAGUUAGAGCAUAAAAUAUACAUCAAAUUUUUAUUAUAUGAAUAUAAAUAUACUACGGUUAUUAAUAAAUAUAAUCAUAUAUAAUGUAAUUAUUAGUAAUAGUUUAUUAAACUAUAUAAAGGAAUUCGGCAAGAAAAUUUUUCACCUGUUUAUCAAAAACAUAGCUUAUUGAAUAUCAUAAUAAGUAACCUCUGCUCAAUGGAAAUCUAAAUAGCCGCAGUACCUUGACUGUGCAAAGGUAGCAUAAUCAAUUGGCUUAUAAUUGAAGUCUGGAAUGAAUGGGUAAUCUGGAAAAUAACUGUCUUUAUUUGUAGUAUUUUGAAUUUACUUAUAAAGUGAAAAUACUUUAAUAUAAAUAUAAGACGAGAAGACCCUAGAAAUUUUUUGUUAAUAACUUUUGUUGGGGCGACAGGGUAACAUAUAAACUUACUUACAUUUAUAUAAAUCUUAUAAGGUACGUAACUAAAUUACUCUAGGGAUAACAGCAUAAUAUAUAAAAGUUUAUGACCUCGAUGUUGGACUAGGUAAUUAAAUAUUUAAAAGAUAUCUUAAUUUGCUCUGUUCGAGCAGUAUCACCUACAU
This 834-nucleotide ribosomal RNA is filed under the name Perforatella incarnata. RNAcentral's name for it is "Monachoides incarnatus partial large subunit ribosomal RNA". The record is from RNAcentral. Lineage: Eukaryota; Metazoa; Mollusca; Gastropoda; Stylommatophora; Hygromiidae.